Rattus norvegicus (Norway rat) is the source of this 2928-nucleotide non-coding RNA. The record is from RefSeq and is a predicted model, not a curated record. NCBI's taxonomy places the organism in Eukaryota, Metazoa, Chordata, Mammalia, Rodentia, Muridae.
GUGCCUACACAAAAAUAAAAAUAAGUUUUAAAAUAUAUACUGAAACAUUCACAUACCAUAAACCUUCUAAAUAGUCUUCUCUCGGGAAGCAAACUGAAAUACAAUUAUUGGGUCUAAGCUGUGGGCUAGCGUCAGUAUAAAAAUUCAUAGCAAUUAUUAAUACCUUAAAAAGAAACCCAAAUACUACAAUGAUUUAAAAAAUGUUGGUUUACACUAUAAUGUCAUAAAUUACAAAAGGGAAUUAAAACUCUUAAGUUGUUUUUGUAAUUUAAUUACCCAGGAAAGCUCAGCUCAGAUGCAGCAUUGGUUAUCAGCGCGGUCCUGCUUUUUAACAAAUUUUCCAGAUGGUUGACUGAGGCACAAGUGACUUGCCCAAGGUUACAGUAAGUCUGUGGUUAGCCCCGUAUUGGAACCCAGGAUCCUCCUGGCUCCCAGUCCUUUGCUCUAACCAGUAAGCCACACAGCCUCCCUAUCCCUGUAUAUGCCAGGAUAGAAAAUAUAAGAAAGUAUGUUUUUGUAUUGGAAUUAAAAUACAUUUUUAGUUUUCCUUAUAGUUUUUGAGAAAGGAUGCUUCCUGCUGAGGCCAAAGCAUUCCAUCAUUUCAACUUUACCGAAACACCCAUUUUUUAAAAAUUUUGUGUGUGUGUCAGGAAGAAUGAGAGACAGAUUACAAGAGAGAAAAGGAAAGAGGGAGAAGGGGGAGGGGCUUCAAAAGAAUGGUGACAGUUGCCAGGCAGUGGUGGUGCAUUCUUUUAAUCCCAGCACUCAGAAGGCAGAGACAGGCAGGUCUACGGAAUGAGUUCCAGAACAGCUAGAGCUACACAGAGAAACCUUGGCUUGAAAAAUGAAACCAAACCAAAACAACAUCAAAAAACAGGAAUGCCCAGAUGAAUGAGAUGAGGUCCAGUGUCCAACAUCAUGACAGUCUCCUGUUAUGUGCUGCUGACUUGAAAAAGUUGAAACUCAAUAUCCAAAGUAAGAUCUUCUGCUAGACAAAUAUUUCCAAUUUUAUUAUGAAAACUGAAAAUUUUUGAAGAAAAAAAUUGAUAACCAGGAAACAACUCACGGGUCAAAUACUUCCCAGUCUUCCUCAUAGGUGGCCUCUGCAUGAGCUGAUGAGUAACCACUCUCGGGAGCUACUGGUGCUAUUUAAUAAGAGGCAAAAAAAGGUUACUUUCAGUCAUCUGUCACAAAAUACACAUUUUUAUUGUUUCUACAAGGAGCUUUCUGUAUUUUAGAUUAAUGACCUAUCUUUACAGCAAAUUUAGUAAAACAAAUGACUACAUCCAAAGAAAAUUACUGCUAUGGGUAACAUGCCUAACUACAACAUGGCUAGUAAAUUAGGAUGUCGAUCUAUGAACUAAGAAGAACUAAGAAGAAAUCUACUAUUAAUAGAAGAUAAUAUUCAGCAAUAAAAACAACAACAAAAAAAAUAGUGUGCUAGUUAGGUUUUUAUUAAGAGCUAGUGUUCUUUUAGAAGGGGAACCUCAGUUAAGAAAAUGACUCUAUCAGACUGGCCCACAGGCAAGUCUGUGGGAAUUUUCUUGAUUAACUGUUGGUGUACAAGUAUGUACUAUGUACUAUGGGUGGUGCCGCUCUUGAGAAAGUGGUCCUGGUUAAUACAAGCAAAACAAACCAAAAAACCAAGGAGAAAUAAUAACAAAGUUCCUGUGCAGCCUCUGCUUCAGUUUCUGCUGUGAGUUGGCUUUUGUUUUAUUUUUAAGGUUUUUUUUUUUUUUUUUUUUUUUUUUUGGAGACAGGGUCUCUCUAUAGUCCUGGCUAUCCUUGAAUUAAAGCCUGUGCCACUACACCUGCCUGGCCCCUAAGUUGCUUUUUAUACAGCAAUAAAAAACAAGCCAGAGCAAUCAGUUUCUAAAUGGACAGUAUUUACAUGUGCUAGUAGUAAGACAGAGAGCUGUUACUUAUAUGUAGUCAGUAAUACAGUUGUAAAAUCUAGACCCCAUAAGCACUCCUUAAUCAGUCCACUAAUCCUGAACAGAGAUGCAACUUGAGCAUUAUGUUAAGUAAAACGAGCCAGAUAAAAAGAGCACAUAAGCUCAGCAUAUGGCUGCCACGAGAGGCUGAUCACCAGGCACAGUUUCAAGCAAGAAGCUCUCAUGUGCUAUUGGACCAGGACUGCAGAUACAAAAACGUACUAUAUCAAAAAGCUAGAAAAAAAAAAUACGGCAGGUUUAGCCUAAUUUAAAUAUUAUAAAAUGUACAUGUGAAUAAAACAUCACAUAGCACACACCUCGUCUCCCCAUUUGUGUCUGUAUGUAGAUAGAAUGUUACUGUCUUGUUUUUGUUAUUUUGAAACAAUGUCUCACUAGGUAGACCAGAUCAGCUCUGAACUCACUAUAUAGUCUAGGAUGGCCUCAAAUUGCUAAUUCUCUUGCUUCAGCUUCCCAAGUGCUGCAGUUAUAGGAAUGCGCCACCAUCCCUGCCUUUUCUUUCUUGCUUAGAUUUAUUUUACUUUAUAUGUAUGGCUGUUUUGUCUGCAUGUAUGUAUGUGCACCACGUAAUGACCGGAUCAGACACUGUUUGAUCCCCUAGAACUGGAGCUACAAAUGUUUGUAAACCUGAACCCAGGGUCCUCUAUAAGAGAAGGAAGUGUCUCUAACCAACAAAUGACUCAGUCAUCUCUUCAGCCCUAAUAGCUCUUAUUGUAUAAGACAACAAUCUUCACUAUUAAAUCAAGCUGGCCUCAAACUUUUGAUCUUUCACAUGUUGGCAACAUACGUAAUUUUUCUGAUAUCACGUAAAUCUAAAAGAAGGAAGGUAAGGGGUUGGGGAUUUAGCUCAGUGGUAGGGCGCUUGCCUAGCAAGCACAAGGCCCUGGGUUCCGUCGUCCCCAGCUCCGAAAAAAAGAAAAAAAAAAAAAAAAAAAAAAAAAAAAAAAAAAAAAAAAAAAAAAAAAAAAAAAAAGAA